AGGCGACUGAAUUUGUUCCGAUAAAUUAAGCGGAAAAUUGAUUAAUUUUAUAUCGGUAUGAGGUUGAAUUGAUCGAAAUUAAGUUUCAAUGCUGAUGGUGUUGUUAACUACAGAGCGAUCAGUUCGUCGCAAUUACUUUCGAUUACAUUAAUUUGGAUGUCACCAAAGUAGCCUACGGUAACGAUUUUCUACUAUUAUUUACACUAUGUCUAAAAUAAAUUCCCAAAUACGAUUUUA
Long non-coding RNA from Topomyia yanbarensis, 237 nucleotides. RefSeq lists it as uncharacterized. The record is from RefSeq and is a predicted model, not a curated record. The transcript is spliced from 2 exons. NCBI's taxonomy places the organism in Eukaryota, Metazoa, Arthropoda, Insecta, Diptera, Culicidae.